This 499-nucleotide ribosomal RNA is filed under the name uncultured bacterium. Its description in RNAcentral is "partial 16S ribosomal RNA". It matches the Rfam family "Bacterial small subunit ribosomal RNA", at positions 30 to 523 of the family's 1533-position model. The record is from RNAcentral.
AUUGAACGCUGGCGGCAUGCCUUACACAUGCAAGUCGAACGGUAACAGGUCUUCGGAUGCUGACGAGUGGCGAACGGGUGAGUAAUACAUCGGAACGUGCCUAGUAGUGGGGGAUAACUACUCGAAAGAGUGGCUAAUACCGCAUGAGAUCUACGGAUGAAAGCAGGGGAUCGCAAGACCUUGUGCUACUAGAGCGGCCGAUGGCCGAGAUAGGUAGUUGGUGGGAUAAAAGCUUACCAAGCCGACGAUCUGUAGCUGGUCUGAGAGGACGAUCAGCCACACGGGGACUGAGACACGGCCCAGACUCCUACGGGAGGCAGCAGUGGGGAAUUUUGGACAAUGGGCGCAAGCCUGAUCCAGCAAUGCCGCGUGCAGGAUGAAGGCCUUCGGGUUGUAAACUGCUUUUGUACGGAACGAAAAGCCCCGGGUUAAUACCCUGGGGUCAUGACGGUACCGUAAGAAUAAGCACCGGCUAACUACGUGCCAGCCGCCGCCGUAA